GCCUGAUUCCUCAAUAUAAUGAAGAACAAGUAAGAUUUAAAAAGACAUUGUAGGAAUAGCAAAAGAAUUAGCAGCUGAGAAUCUGCACUGUGCAAAGGAAGACACUAGAAAAGAUACAAGGACAGUUGAACACAGAGGGUAUAAGGAGAAGAAGUUUAAGGCAGAAAAUAUUAAAGAGUUAAAGUGUCAGCAGCUGAAUAAAUGAGAAAGCCUAUUUAAUUACUGAAACUACAUCUUAUAAGUACCACUUAUAAGUAAGAUUAUGUUAUAUUUUGGGUUUACAUAUUUUAUUAUUUCAAUAUCUCUCCCAAGAAAAUGCUAAUAAUCUCAACACUCUUUGGAAAAUGUUUUCACAAGAAGAGGAUAUCAAAGGAGCAAAGGCCACACAGUCUUAGCGCACUGCAACUGUUGGACUAGGAUUAACAAGAAAAAGAAAAAGAGAAAAAGAAAAAGAAAAAGAAAAAAAAGAAAAAGAAAAAGAAAAAGAAAAAGAAAAAGAAAAAGAAAAAGAAAAAGAAAAAGAAAAAGAAAAAGAAAAAGAAAAAGAAAAAGAAAAAGAAAAAGAAAAAGGAAAAGAAAAAGGAAAAGAAAAAGAGAAGCCAAGAGGGAUAAUUUGUUUCUCCAGGGCAAAUGA
Molecule: long non-coding RNA, 634 nt
Filed under: Junco hyemalis (dark-eyed junco)
Lineage: Eukaryota; Metazoa; Chordata; Aves; Passeriformes; Passerellidae
Description: lncRNA (ENSJHYG00000011029.1)
Source: RNAcentral